RNAcentral lists this unclassified non-coding RNA (2327 nucleotides) under Ceratitis capitata (Mediterranean fruit fly). RNAcentral's name for it is "arfaptin-2, transcript variant X4". Lineage: Eukaryota; Metazoa; Arthropoda; Insecta; Diptera; Tephritidae. The record is from RNAcentral.
UAGUCCAAAGCAAAUAAAUACAUUAAUUUAGAGUAACCGAUUACAUACAAUUUCUCUGUUAUUAGCAGAAGAUUGCUUGUCUGCCUCUGUUAAUAAACUUAAUUUCGUGGUUGCUGUUAUUUAACAGCGUGUUGAAUUUUCUUCCCACGAUUUUCCAGAAAUUUUUAGAGAUCUUAAAAGUGGUGCCAUGAAUUUGCACCUUCUCCGCCUUAUGCAAUUUUCAUCGCAGUAUUAAAGAUGAAAUGGAAAUGUUCGGAAAGCUUUAUUCCAAUACAGUAAAUACCGCUCAGCAACACUACUUAGCGACGGAUUCCCAAUUUCGUUGGCUCUGUCAUCGGUAGAAAAAAUCCAGGCGUCGUGGAAAAAUUUUUCUUUGUAUGAAUAAGUUAAUUUAUGUUACUAUGAAAACUAUAUUUGUGUUUAAAAUAUUGUAAAAUUUGCCUUGGGGCAAUAGAAUUUAAGCAAAUGAAAAAUUAUUGUUAAAGUUUCGGAUAUUGAAUAAGGAAAUCGAUUAUAAUUCAUCUCUGCCUCUCGCAUAUUAAAUUUCUGACUGACGGUGUCUUAACCGCUGAUACUACCUUGAUGAAAACAGAUAAUUAGAUAAAGCAAUACAUAAAUAUCUAUUGGAAAAGUAGUCUGCAUUCAAUUAUCGCCUUGAACGGGAGAAAAACAAUAUCAAGUGUGUAAAAGAUUCUGUACAACGAAAUGGCACAUUCGUUGCACCACACAGAGCGAAGCAUUCAUGAAAUGCUCAAGGAUACACCACCAAUGAAUGAAAGCGGUAGUGCUAUACAUAGUGGAACCGAAGGCCGAGCUUUUAUGCCACCAAAUAGUCUACCACUUCAUAAUCAUUCUGUUUUUUCAGCACCUGCUACACCUUUGUCACAAACAAGCCCUCAGAAUGGUGUGGAUGCUGGCCUGCUGCGUACGGGAGCAUCGAAAAUUGACAGUAUAAAGAAUUGGAGCAUAUCAACCUACAAAUGUACCCGGCAAAUAAUGUUGGAAAAGCUGGGCAAAUCACAGCGUACGGUUGACUCAGAAUUAGAAGCGCAAAUUGAACAAUUGCGAGAAACACAACGGAAAUAUUUAUCAAUUUUGCGCUUGACGCGUGCUUUCAGUUCACAUUUUCAUCAUGUUGUAGUAACGCAGCAUGCUCUGGCGGAAGCCUUUGCAGAUUUGGCACAGAAAAGCCCUGAACUACAAGAAGAAUUCACUUGUAAUUCAGAGACACAACGAAAUCUUACGAAAAAUGGUGAGCUGCUGCUUAGUGCGCUGAAUUUUUUUAUUUCAUCUGUGAAUACAUUGUGUAAUAAAACCAUUGAUGACACGUUACUUACAAUCAAGCAAUAUGAGAUCGCCAGAGUGGAGUUCGACGCUUAUCGAAUGGAUUUGGAAAACACCAAACCCGAAUUGCCCCAAAGUCCUGUUACUGAAGAAGCACAAAAAAACUUUUCACAUCAUAAGGAACUUUAUGAAAAGUUACGAGCAGAUGUAGCUAUCAAAAUGCAAUUUCUUGAUGAAAAUAGGAUAAAAGUAAUGCAUAAACAACUGGUGUUGCUUCACAAUGCAAUAGCAGCGUAUUUUUCGGGCAAUGCAGUUGCACUUGAAAGCACAAUGAAACAAUUUAACAUAAAAUUGAAAGCGCCUAAUUCGGCAACUGGAUCCUGGUUAGAACAGUAGUAUUGCUAAGAGCCCGUCCAUACAAACUCCCAACAGUUACUGUCGCAGCAAAUAUGGAUAGAUACAUUUUGCUUUCCUUUAAAACUGCAAAGAGCAAAUGUAAUCAGUUUCCGUGGACCAAUUGAGGCAACAAUAACAUAUGAGAGAAAGUUUUUUUCGAAUAAGCGAUAGUUUGAACGAAAAGUAAUUAAGAUUUGAAACGUGAAAGGAAAUGUAACCAGUGAAAUUGGAUUACAAUAAAAACUUAGUAAUAUAAGAACACAUACUUAUAAUAGUUCCUGAGUUUUUGUUUGUAUGUAUUGUAAUUUUUACUUAAUACUCUCGAUUUUUUGUUAUACAAACAUCAUAUGUAAGAGGUUAUUUAUGUGUUUUGAUUUUGACUUUCUGAAAACUAUCAACAAUUUAUAUAUUUCGAAUAACUAAAAUUCAAAACUUUUAUGCGUAUGUAUUUGUAUGCACACAAAUGUUAUAAACAUUGAAUUUUUUUUAUUUUUCUAAGAUAUACUGUUUAUCAAAUAUAUAUAUUUGUGUAGAUAAUUUUUGUCACUUUUACCAUAUAAAAGGACUAUGUAUAUUUUAUAUGCCACUAAAAACAAUAUCUAUUAAGAAAUUAUGAAAAAAAAACCCUAUUCCAUGAGCAUACAUUA